GACGAACGCUGGCGGCGUGCUUAACACAUGCAAGUCGAACGGAAAGGCCCUGCUUUUGUGGGGUGCUCGAGUGGCGAACGGGUGUGUAACACGUGAGUAACCUGCCCUUGACUUUGGGAUAACUUCAGGAAACUGGGGCUAAUACCGGAUAGGAGCUCCUGCUGCAUGGUGGGGGUUGGAAAGUUUCGGCGGUUGGGGAUGGACUCGCGGCUUAUCAGCUUGUUGGUGGGGUAGUGGCUUACCAAGGCUUUGACGGGUAGCCGGCCUGAGAGGGUGACCGGCCACAUUGGGACUGAGAUACGGACCAGACUCCUACGGGAGGCAGCAGUGGGGAAUAUUGCACAAUGGGCGGAAGCCUGAUGCAGCAACGCCGCGUGCGGGAUGACGGCCUUCGGGUUGUAAACCGCUUUCGCCUGUGACGAAGCGUGAGUGACGGUAAUGGGUAAAGAAGCACCGGCUAACUACGUG
Molecule: ribosomal RNA, 468 nt
Filed under: uncultured bacterium
Lineage: Bacteria
Description: partial 16S ribosomal RNA
Rfam family: Bacterial small subunit ribosomal RNA
Source: RNAcentral